Molecule: transfer RNA, 65 nt
Filed under: Gonocephalus grandis (Giant forest dragon)
Lineage: Eukaryota; Metazoa; Chordata; Lepidosauria; Squamata; Agamidae
Description: tRNA-Met
Source: RNAcentral
AUCAGGAUCUGCUACAUAAGCAAUUGGGCCCAUGCCCCAAAAACGGUAUAUUACACCUCCUGACA